UCAGUCUACUCAAAAGGAGUCUAGGCUGUGAGGAUGAAGUCCAACAAAGCAUGUGGUAAAUAUUUCACAAGGCUAUUUUAAUAUUUUAAAGCUAUAUAUUCUCUAGUCAUGAACAAGCAAUGACAGAACAGAAGAAUAGAAAACAGUGAUCAGAACGGUAACUAACACUUACUGAGCACCCAGGCUGGAUUGGACACUGUGCUAAGUCCUCUCCAUGUACUAUCUUCAUUCGUUCUCCUAACAAUUUAAUGAGGUCUGUGCAGUUAACAACCUCAGUGCACAAAGAAAAAGCACAUCCAGCUACAAGUAGAGGAGCCAGGAAUUGAACCUCAGUGGAUGGACCUGGGAGCUUGUGCUCACCACCAGGAGGUACAACUUACAUGACAUAAAGCACAGGAAUCUCAAAGAUAAAGCUUGAUGAGUUUUUGUACAUGUAUAUACAUCUGUGUAGCCACUACCCAGAUCAAGAUAAAGAACACUUUCUGCACCCCUGGGCAGGCUCUGUGCUGUCCCCUCCCAAAGAUGAAGAAACCAAGGUUCAAAGAGCAUUCACAGCUGCCCCAGGUCACACAGCCAGCGAGUGGCAGAGCUGGGACUUGAACUCACGUCCAUCAGACUCUGCAUCCUGAACCCUGCCUCCCAGGAAGGGGAAGGAGUGAGAAAAGAUAAGAAAAGCUGGAAACAUCUGACCGGUUGCGUCUGCUGGGAGGAAGGAGGCUGCAGGCUGCAGGACGGCGAGCAGCAGAGGCCGGGGAAGCUCCAGGCUAUGGUCGUCCGUCUCCUGCUCAGACUGCCUUACUCGAAGCGGAACAGACAGACACACAGGACAGGUCUCCUGCCAGUGCCUUGAUUGGCUGAAUCUAACUGGAAGCCAGAGGACAAGAGAUCCUGUUGAAAC
Molecule: long non-coding RNA, 898 nt
Organism: Balaenoptera acutorostrata (minke whale)
Lineage: Eukaryota; Metazoa; Chordata; Mammalia; Artiodactyla; Balaenopteridae
Exons: 5
Source: RefSeq, a predicted model, not a curated record